RNAcentral lists this ribosomal RNA (405 nucleotides) under uncultured bacterium. Its description in RNAcentral is "partial 16S ribosomal RNA". It matches the Rfam family "Bacterial small subunit ribosomal RNA", at positions 361 to 776 of the family's 1533-position model. The record is from RNAcentral.
AUAUUGCACAAUGGGGGAAACCCUGAUGCAGCGACGCAGCGUGCGGGAUGACGGACUCCGGGUUGUAAACCGCUUUCUGCAGGGAAGAAGCCCUAAGGUGACGGUACCUGCAGAAGACGUACCGUCUAACUAUGUGCCAGCAGCCGCGGUAAUACGUAGGGUAAGAGAGUUGUCCGGAAUUAUUGGGCGUAAAGAGCUCGUAGGUGGUUGGUCACGUCAGCUGUGGAAACGCAACGCUUAACGUUGCGAGUGCAGUGGGUACGGGCUGACUAGAGGGCAGUAGGGGAGUCUGGAAUUCCUGGUGUAGCGGUGAAAUGCGCAGAUAUCAGGAGGAACACCGGUGGCGAAGGCGUGACUCUGGGCUGUAACUGACACUGAGGAGCAAAAGCAUGGGGAGCGAACAGG